Ictalurus furcatus (blue catfish) is the source of this 1069-nucleotide long non-coding RNA. RefSeq lists it as uncharacterized. The record is from RefSeq and is a predicted model, not a curated record. Lineage: Eukaryota; Metazoa; Chordata; Actinopteri; Siluriformes; Ictaluridae. The transcript is spliced from 2 exons.
UGUAACGUAGUGCCAGGCUUCAGGAAACCUCUUUUUAACUUAACCAUUUGCACAUUUAGCCUUUAAGGACUGUACUGGAAUAUCUGUAUUUGACACCGAUAACUAUGAAAGAACUAUUAUUUUAUUAUUGCCAACCUAUUUAGGUCAGCAACCAGCAGCACAAAUUGGAAAUCUGGAAAUCUACUAAAUCAGUCAGCUUGGUGGUGCUCUAUGAAUUUUAAUUUACUUCUAAUGCGACUCACAAUAUGCACUUAAGAUACCGACCCUCUGCUACCCCAUUCUACACAUCAUUAGCAUUCAUACUAGAAGCAUUUCAAAAAGCCCUUUGCCUAGUCCUUCUCCAGGCUGAUGGGUCCCUAUGGUAACAAAAGAGCCUGGGCUUGGGACUGACAAAAAGACACUUGAGCUUCUUUCAAGUCUUGGAGGGGUCUGGAGGAGCCAGAUGUAUGCAUAGAGGAAGCCAGAUGUGUAAACAGAAGAGAGAAAAUCAUGCAGAUGAUGCCACUCCUUUCUAGAAUUUGUUUACAGAGAGGUCACAUGAGGAAGAAGAGUUGCAUGGAGGGUGUGUAGCAUGUAGGAUAGAGGAUAGUCAUACACAAUAGGCCCUUUCUGCUGGAUGAAUCACAUGACACUCAGUCCCUUCUCUGUGUAGACUUGGAGGGCUGGGAUGAUGACAUGAUGAAGGGAGAGAGAUAGAGAGAGAGAAAGUCACAGUUCUGUUUCUCACUGAAACUGUGAAUAUUGUAAAUAGUUUUCCAGGGAUUUAGGAAGGAUGCCAGGAGAAUUCUUGAGUGGCAGGUUACUUGCUUUCCAACUGACUACUAUCCAACUGGCAAAUGUAUCCAAAUCUACAUACAAGUAAAGUAGCACUAUAUUCCAUGCACCUAGAGGGUCAAGGUCCUGCAAAGUUAUUUUAAAGUUAUCCAGUUCACUAAACUGUGCUUUUCUGUAUGCAGUAACAAUUAUCUUAACUGUUGAAAGUUAAAUAAUUGUUACUCAAUAUCUGACAGUGUUCCAAAUGAUCCAGAACAUCACCAAAAAAUGAUUGAACUAAAGAAUACUAUAUACA